AGCAGGCGCGCAAAUUACCCACUCCCGGCACGGGGAGGUAGUGACGAAAAAUAACGAUACGGGACUCAUCCGAGGCCCCGUAAUCGGAAUGAGUACACUUUAAAUCCUUUAACGAGGAUCAAUUGGAGGGCAAGUCUGGUGCCAGCAGCCGCGGUAAUUCCAGCUCCAAUAGCGUAUAUUAAAGUUGUUGCGGUUAAAAAGCUCGUAGUCGAAUUUGUGUCCCGCGCCGCCGGUUCAUCGCUCGCGGUGUCCAACUGGCGUGUCCGCGGGACGUCCUGCCGGUGGGCUUAGCUCGCGAGGGCGGCCCAACUGCAAAUCCCGCCGCGGUGCUCUUGACUGAGUGUCGAGGUGGGCCGGCACGUUUACUUUGAACAAAUUAGAGUGCUUAAAGCAGGCCAAAAUUUCGCCUGAAUACUCAGUGCAUGGAAUAAUGGAAUAGGACCUCGGUUCUAUUUUGUUGGUUUUCGGAACCCCGAGGUAAUGAUUAAUAGGAACGGAUGGGGGCAUUCGUAU
Molecule: ribosomal RNA, 513 nt
Filed under: Trogoderma granarium
Lineage: Eukaryota; Metazoa; Arthropoda; Insecta; Coleoptera; Dermestidae
Description: SSU rRNA
Rfam family: Eukaryotic small subunit ribosomal RNA
Source: RNAcentral